This 495-nucleotide ribosomal RNA is filed under the name uncultured bacterium. RNAcentral's name for it is "partial 16S ribosomal RNA". It matches the Rfam family "Bacterial small subunit ribosomal RNA", at positions 28 to 507 of the family's 1533-position model. The record is from RNAcentral.
GAUGAACGCUGGCGGCGUGCUUAACACAUGCAAGUCGAACGAAGCACCUCUCCCGAAGAUUGACACAGCUUGCUGUAGAUUGAUUCAUUUGAGGUGACUGAGUGGCGGACGGGUGAGUAACGCGUGGGUAACCUGCCUCAUAGAGGGGGACAACAGUUGGAAACGACUGCUAAUACCGCAUAGUAAGAAGAAUUCGCAUGUUUUCUUCUUGAAAGAUUUAUCGCUAUGAGAUGGACCCGCGUCUGAUUAGCUAGUUGGUAAGGUAACGGCUUACCAAGGCGACGAUCAGUAGCCGGCUUGAGAGAGUGAACGGCCACAUUGGGACUGAGACACGGCCCAAACUCCUACGGGAAGCAGCAGUGGGGAAUAUUGCACAAUGGGGGAAACCCUGAUGCAGCGACGCCGCGUGAGUGAAGAAGUAUUUCGGUAUGUAAAGCUCUAUCAGCAGGGAAGAUAAUGACGGUACCUGACUAAGAAGCCCCGGCUAACUACGUG